Molecule: small nuclear RNA, 166 nt
Organism: Suncus etruscus (white-toothed pygmy shrew)
Lineage: Eukaryota; Metazoa; Chordata; Mammalia; Eulipotyphla; Soricidae
Product: U1 spliceosomal RNA
Exons: 1
Source: RefSeq, a predicted model, not a curated record
AUACUGCCACUGCGCAGGGGAGAUACCAUGAUCACAAAGGUGGUUUUCCCAGGGUGAAGCUUAUCCAUUGCACUGCGGAUAUGCUGUCCCCUGCGAUUUCCCCUAAUAUGGGAAACUCGACUGCAUAAUUUGUGGAUCUAGGGGACUGUGUUCGCGAUCUCCCCUG